CAGUAGCCACGGUAAUACGAAGGGGGCUAGCGUUGCUCGGAAUUACUGGGCGUAAAGCGUGCGUAGGCGGCUUCUUAAGUCGGAUGUGAAAUCCCUGAGCUUAACUUAGGAAUUGCAUUCGAUACUGGGAAGCUAGAGUAUGGGAGAGGAUGGUAGAAUUCCAGGUGUAGCGGUGAAAUGCGUAGAGAUCUGGAGGAAUACCGAUGGCGAAGGCAGCCAUCUGGCCUAAUACUGACGCUGAGGUACGAAAGCAUGGGGAGCAAACAGGAUUAGAUACCCGAGUAGUCCCUGUCUCUUAUAC
Molecule: ribosomal RNA, 301 nt
Filed under: uncultured bacterium
Lineage: Bacteria
Description: partial 16S ribosomal RNA
Rfam family: Bacterial small subunit ribosomal RNA
Source: RNAcentral